AGUGAACGCUGGCGGUAGGCCUAACACAUGCAAGUCGAACGGCAGCACAGUAAGAGCUUGCUCUUACGGGUGGCGAGUGGCGGACGGGUGAGGAAUACAUCGGAAUCUACUUUUUCGUGGGGGAUAACGUAGGGAAACUUACGCUAAUACCGCAUACGACCUACGGGUGAAAGCAGGGGAUCUUCGGGCCUUGCGCGAUUGAAUGAGCCGAUGUCGGAUUAGCUAGUUGGCGGGGUAAAGGCCCACCAAGGCGACGAUCCGUAGCUGGUCUGAGAGGAUGAUCAGCCACACUGGAACUGAGACACGGUCCAGACUCCUACGGGAGGCAGCAGUGGGGAAUAUUGGACAAAGGGCGCAAGCCUGAUCCAGCCAUACCGCGUGGGUGAAGAAGGCCUUCGGGUUGUAAAGCCCUUUUGUUGGGAAAGAAAAGCAGCAGGUUAAUACCCCGCUGUUCUGACGGUACCCAAAGAAUAAGCACCGGCUAACUUCGUG
RNAcentral lists this ribosomal RNA (492 nucleotides) under uncultured bacterium. Its description in RNAcentral is "partial 16S ribosomal RNA". It matches the Rfam family "Bacterial small subunit ribosomal RNA", at positions 29 to 507 of the family's 1533-position model. The record is from RNAcentral.